This 253-nucleotide ribosomal RNA is filed under the name uncultured bacterium. RNAcentral describes it as "partial 16S ribosomal RNA". It matches the Rfam family "Bacterial small subunit ribosomal RNA", at positions 524 to 776 of the family's 1533-position model. The record is from RNAcentral.
UACGGGGGGGGCAAGCGUUGUUCGGAAUUACUGGGCGUAAAGGGCUCGUAGGUGGCCAACUAAGUCAGACGUGAAAUCCCUCAGCUUAACUGGGGAACUGCGUCUGAUACUGGAUGGCUUGAGUUUGGGAGAGGGAUGCGGAAUUCCAGGUGUAGCGGUGAAAUGCGUAGAUAUCUGGAGGAACACCGGUGGCGAAGGCGGCAUCCUGGACCGGUAUUGACGCUGAGGCGCGAAAGCCAGGGGAGCAAACGGG